AUAGAAGACAGCGCGCUAGCGUAUCUAGUCUAUGUAUACCUAUGGUCUGUACGUCUGGUAGCAUCUCCGGCUGCUGUUGAUCUUGUUUUUGGAGUAAAACACGGUGGAAGCUGAAUUAGCGAGGAUGACUCCUGCUCCUGUCAUCUCUAAGCUCCUCAUACAUCUUUACCUGCACAUGAGGAAAAUCACUCCUGUAGAAUGCAGAUGUUCAGAGGGAGAUGAUGCCACAUCUGGUCCAGCUGAUGGAAGGUCUUGAAGUUCUCUGACUGGCCUCGACUGAAGAUGGUCGUCUCACUGGAUUUAAGGUUCAGAUGCUCAGUAACAAACUCCACCAAUGUGCCAACAGGGAAGCUUUAGGUUUAUUAAAUGUUGCUAUGAAGGUAUUGCUGUUUUUCUUUGUGAAUGCAAUGUGCUCCAACUGAAAGUUGAAUUAGAACUUAGAAGUAAAUCCUUCCAUCUGAAAGGAUUUAGUUGCAUUAAUAACCUCAUAACAUUCUAAUUUUUAUUCCAGUCUUAGUUGGAAAUAGAAUCUCUGUAUUGAUUCAGGUAAAAACUGAACUUCACAGCAUGAUGGAGCAAAACACCCAGAUGAAAACUGUGAUGGUGUUGGAUUGUCAGACCGUAAUGUUGCAGCUCAAAGCAGCUUUUCUAGCUCAGUUCAUUCUGACAUUCAGCUAUGAAUCAACACAGCAGAUGGUGAUCCAUGCUGUGGAAGUCUCACAUCUCCUGAUUUAAUGGAGCUGCUUUGCACUUUUUACACUGUUUAUUCACCAACACUUUAUUUAAUAAAAGUCCUAUCUAGUUUUUAUGAGGAAAGUGAUGUUUUAAUUUCUCUGUGAAUAACUGCAGUCUAAUGAACAGCUGGAGUUGUAACAUCUGUCCUGAUAUUGAUCAUGAAGUAUUGAUCAGAAUACUUAUGGUCAGCAGUCAUCCCUGAAGUUUUACAUUGAAAUCUUUACUUGUGUUGUGAACUUUGGUAAGAAGCAGAAACGUUAGCGUUGCCAUGGAUACAUGAGUGUUAAAUUCUGUCCAUGUUUCCAUUUUGGGAAAUGCAGUCCAGUUCCAGAAUGUGGAGGAAUUUAGUCUCAAUCACAGACAACAAAUAUUAUCUGAAAGUCGAGUUAUUGUUGUUUAUCAGCACAAUACAAAAAUAUUCAUGUUAGACAUAUUCCAGUUAAGACUCUAGAAUAUUAUGAUUUAUGUAAAUUUACCUCAAUAAUAUGAAUGUUCAGGUUAAGAUUGUACAGUGAUAUUUAUUAUGUAAGUUUAGCUGAUUAAACAAAUGACUCUGCACUAAAAUAUUACUUAAAUUUACAUCAUUAUUAUAGUAUUUAGGGUCAGACCCUACAGUAUUGCGAUUAAGAAAUCAAAUAUUUUAUAAAAUGUAAAUACACUGAACUCAUUUGGAUAUAUUUAAGUGAGACUCUACAAUAUUAUUUUACACAAAUCUAUCUAAAUCAAAAUUUUAAUAAUUUUCACGCCAAACAUUUACUGGACUGAUUUAAAUAUUAAAAUCACUCCUUUCUAAUCCUCUGCUGUACGUUGAAACCUGAGGCCUUAAAUAGAAACACACAAGUAUCUGAUUGAAGGAACUUCUGCAGAGUCCUGGUUCCAGAACAUGAUGAUAGAAUUAUAGACAAACUUUAACAAAAGCUGACUGAGAGUUUACAGGUUUUUGUUAGAUUUCUUCAGUAAUUUAAUGAGAGUUAUCAGCAAAAAUCAAGUGUUCAUUUGAUGAACUUCAUUUCCUAAAACAUCCAGAAUUGGAGCUCAUAUCUUUGGCAGCUGUAAAGUUUCUGCUCCUUCAAAGUUCACAACACAAUGAAUUAAUUCCUAAAACACUCUCAAUGCUGGAGAGUGUUUGUGAUGCUGAAGCAGUGACCAGUUUUUCUGUUUCUUCUCUGGAGAUGCACAAUGAGGGACGUCUGCAGAGACUGAGAAAGAGUCUCACCACAUCCUGACAUGAGGAAAAAGACUUUAUUGAAGACUACAGUGAGAAAAACUAUCAGACAGCAGACGGCUGCAUUCAAGGCCUCCGUUGACUCGUCCCACCUGCCGUCUCUGGAGCUGAAGCUGGAUUGGAACAGACCAAAGUACAGUCCAAUCACGAUGCCAGCUGCCUCUCAAAAG
This is a long non-coding RNA of Amphiprion ocellaris (clown anemonefish), 2130 nucleotides long. NCBI's taxonomy places the organism in Eukaryota, Metazoa, Chordata, Actinopteri, Pomacentridae. The record is from Ensembl.